UAAUUUAAAAAAACAAAACAAAAACAUUAACAUCCCCUUCCCAUUUUCUCUGAUGACCAUGUAUAUUGACACGAGAGCUGGAUAAGUUGUUAAAAGGACUUCGUAUCCUGUUACCCUUUGUCUUCUAGUAGUGGACAAAAUUAGUAUUAUAGCUGUAAUCUGUCAUUUCUUCUGUUAAGAUUAAUCAAAUUUGUUUAACUCUUUUUUGUACACUUUUAACAAUAAAGGUUCUUUAUUGGCAUCGAUGUUCCAUGAAGAGCCUUGAACAUCCAUGGAACAUUUCAAAUGCAGAAAAGGUUCUUUAUAGUCGAAAAAGGUACUUUAGAUUUUUAAAAUCUUCUUAAAUAUGCACUGUAAAACAAUUCAACUGCAAGAUUUUCAAUUUACGAAACCUUUUGAGUCUCAAAUACUAAAAAAUGCUAUUUUCUUGAAACUACAUAAAAAUCAAUCCAACAAAAUUACCCCAAACGUUGUCCCAGCUAGUCAAACACAGUUAUCUGAACAAAGAAUUUCAUAUUGUUGAAACAUUAAGGCUUAGUGAGUUCCCAGCAUGCAUUUGCAGCAUGAAUAAAUUAUGCAGUUACUGUUAUAGGAUUAUUGUUUUGCUGUUUGCUGUCUUCAUUUCAACUUUUUUUUGUUGUUGUUUUGUCGUCAUUGUUAGUUAUUGUUGUACUGUGAUGAAAAGAGCUCAUCUUUUUAGCAUUCGUUGGAUGUCACCGUUCUUGAGGUUAGUGUCUAGUUUUGAGGCAUAGAGUAUGUUCAGCCAGUAAUGUCCAUUUCUUGGAUAACUUAGUCUUGUAAGUUGUUUUACAAGCAAAGACUAUGUUGUCUACAUAUUUAGACUAAGUUAUCCAUUAAGGUUAAUCAUUUGUAAAUAAACAAAGUCGAUAAUGUGGUGACUUUUUACACAUUCUUUUUUUUUCUUCCAGGAAACAGAAAAAACUUUAUUACUUCAGCGACAGUAAAUGUUUGUUUCAGUUGCUGUGACAAAAACAUUUUCUAUUAGCAAAAUAAGACAACCAGCAUUACAUGAGCAAACUAAUUUACACUGGCUAAACGAAGUAUCUUUACUGAGAAGAACUAAAAAACUAUUGUUGAGCGAACUCAAAAGUCUUACUGCAUCAAGUUACCUUAUUUUUAUUUAAUUUUUUUUCUCAACUAUUUAUUUUUUAUAGUGUGGUUUAUUUAAGAACUGGUCACUGAAAGGUUCUUUGAGGAACCAAAAAAAUCCCAAAAACUUGGGGGGUGGGGGGGCUUAUGUCCCUGAUUCUGUAUUGGGGUGAUCAUGGCUGAUAAAGAAAGAAAGAAAGAAAGAAAGAAAAAGAAUCUGCAGCAUCCUUUUUGUUAUAGAUUUUGUUAUUUGUUAUUGAUGUUAUGAGAAUAAAAAUGAGAGACAGCUGAUCCACCGAAGUUCAGCCAAAACUCACCCACUGAGAGAACUGGGUCUCUCUGCUCUACUGUCUCUGCUGUUCCCCCUCAGGAAGAGCAGGUGCAUGACUGACACAAAUAUGUGUUUGUGUGGUGUUCUGUGCAACAACCUGUUUGACGAGUUUAAAGGAAACAACACGUAAAUCUGGGUUGCGUAGUGGAAGAGGGGCUGGCCAUCAGGAACAUAUAUAUAUAUAUAUAUAUAGUCUUAAAACCUUUGUUUACUGAGAUCUGUGACUCAUACUCGUGAAUACUCAGUGAUAUAAUAGGAAUCUUCACAUACAGAGAAAACAGAAGGCUGGAUUUGUUUUCUUCACAAGUCAUAAGCAAGAAACGUGAGGAAACAAACAGAAAAAGAGCGAUAUGGAGAGCAGAGAAGAAGAAUGCCGUUCCUCCAGACCACGGGUGAAUCGGUCUAAUUUACUGCUAAAACAGGAGAGCAUUGAUAAAAGACCAAAUUUUUCUCAUGAUUCUGGUGGUCCAGAACAGUGUCAGCCUGACAUAUCUGAAGAGGGCCGUGAUAAGACACUCAGACAUACUGCGACAGGAGAGGAGCAGCUGGAGGAACUUUGAGAUAGAACAAGAUCUUUGAGGAGAUAACUUUACUUUACACAUUAAUACUUCUCACAGAAUGAUUGGGAAAGACUCCUGCUCUUACACAUUACAGGAUUUCAGAUGCAUGUUUGAUGUGAAGCCCAUGAAUCAGUUGUUUUAAGCACCUCAGAGGAUGAUGCUUCACAGAGAUAAACAACAGCUCUAAACACAUCACUGAAACACAGUGAGACUCUUCAGGAAUCUCUCAGCAAAUGCAUUGCUUAACUCUACUGGACUGUAUGCUGUGAUUUAUUUGAAUAAACGUGAAAAUAUGUAGUUUUA
Long non-coding RNA from Onychostoma macrolepis, 2304 nucleotides. RefSeq lists it as uncharacterized. The record is from RefSeq and is a predicted model, not a curated record. Lineage: Eukaryota; Metazoa; Chordata; Actinopteri; Cypriniformes; Cyprinidae. The transcript is spliced from 4 exons.